AGCAGUUGAGAGAACUCUCCAGAAGAGAGAGAAUUUUAUUAAGGAAAAUGAAGGCAAAAUAAAAUCCGUAUCUACAAAAUAUCUGCCUUCCACUAUAUACACAUUUCACUAUUGGGUCGGGUCCGAUGAGCCGGCCCAAAACUAAAUAACCGUGGGCUCAGAUACACAGUCCAGCAGCAUCAAUCAUCAUAGCCCAUUACAAGGUAUACCAUGAGUAUACAGUAAAUAUACAAUGAGUAUAUAAGUCUAUGUCACUUAUGCUUUGGCUUGGAAGCCAUAUAAUCUCUCAUCUCAACACUCCCCCCUAAAGUUGGAGGGGGAGACCACCUGCAACUUGAGCAACAAGGGAUGAAGCACAGUGCCAAGCAAA
This 370-nucleotide long non-coding RNA is filed under the name Nicotiana benthamiana. Its description in RNAcentral is "long non-coding RNA (NBEN_LNC038739)". Lineage: Eukaryota; Viridiplantae; Streptophyta; Magnoliopsida; Solanales; Solanaceae. The record is from RNAcentral.